RNAcentral lists this ribosomal RNA (2460 nucleotides) under Atomaria sp. BYU CO145. RNAcentral's name for it is "eukaryotic LSU rRNA". It matches the Rfam family "Eukaryotic large subunit ribosomal RNA", at positions 74 to 1867 of the family's 3401-position model. The record is from RNAcentral. Lineage: Eukaryota; Metazoa; Arthropoda; Insecta; Coleoptera; Cryptophagidae.
AUUUCCUUAGUAGCUGCGAGCGAACAGGAAAGAGCCCAGCACUGAAUCCCGCGGUCAGCAACGGCCGCCGGGAAAUGUAGUGUUAGGGAGGGCCCGUUUAUCUCGGAGCCGCGCGAUGCGUCCAAGUCCUUCUUGAACGGGGCCACAACCCAUAGAGGGUGCCAGGCCCGUAGCGACCGUCGCCGGUUUCGAGAGGGUUUCUCCUCAGAGUCGGAUUGCUUGAGAGUGCAGUCCUAAGUGGGUGGUAAACUCCAUCUAAGGCUAAAUAUAACCACGAGACCGAUAGCGAACAAGUACCGUGAGGGAAAGUUGAAAAGCACUUUGAAGAGAGAGUUAAACAGUACGUGAAACCGUUCAGGGGUAAACCUGAGCAACCCGAAAGAUCGAUCGGGGAAGUUCACCGUGUCUUGAUGCGCGAGCGUGAGUCGUGCGACGCGUGCAUUGCGGCUUGCCGUUGUGUGCGUGCUCCUUCUUGCGUGACCGGGUAUCGAGCGCGUGCACUCUUCCCCCAGUAGAACGUCGCGAUCCGUUGAGUGCUGGUCUAAGGCCUGCGGUGGAGCCCGUGUUGCUCGCUUUGCGGCGAGUGGCGCGGACCCGUGGUGUUCCCGACCAGCUCGCUCGACGGUAGCAUAGUAUGCAGCGUAGAGCCGCACACAUUUUGAAGUGCGUUCAGCCCGUCGCAAGCACGUCCGCCCGAUAAGUUGGUGUGACGGACACAAAGUGCCGUCCCCAGCCACGGACGACUGUUGGCGUGCGGUGUCUUUGAACAGACUCUCACACGCUCAUCUGCGGCGCUAUAGCUUUGGGUACGUUCAGGACCCGUCUUGAAACACGGACCAAGGAGUCUAGCAUGUGCGCGAGUCAUUGAGUAAAACGAAACUCAAAGGCGCAAUGAAAGUAAAAGCUGGCCUUGCGCCAGCCGAGGGAAGAUGAGCAAACGUACAAACACGCGUGCUCCGCACUCCCGGGGCGUCUCACGCUUUCUCGCGUCGCUUGCGGCGCGCGAGCGGAGGCGCACCUAGAGCGUACACGCUGGGACCCGAAAGAUGGUGAACUAUGCUUGGUCAGGACGAAGUCAGGGGAAACCCUGAUGGAGGUCCGUAGCGAUUCUGACGUGCAAAUCGAUCGUCGGAACUGAGUAUAGGGGCGAAAGACUAAUCGAACUAUCUAGUAGCUGGUUCCCUCCGAAGUUUCCCUCAGGAUAGCUGGCGCUCAUGCGUACAAGUUUCAUCCGGUAAAGCGAAUGAUUAGAGGCAUUGGGGCCGAAACGGCCUCAACCUAUUCUCAAACUUUAAAUGGGUGAGAUCGCCGGCUUGCUUAAAUGCUUGAAGCCGUGCGCUCACAAUGUAUUGAAUUAGAGUGCCAAGUGGGCCAUUUUUGGUAAGCAGAACUGGCGCUGUGGGAUGAACCAAACGCCGAGUUAAAGCACCAAAAUCGACGCUUAUGGGAUACCAUGAAAGGCGUUGGUAGCUUAGGACAGCAGGACGGUGGUCAUGGAAGUCGAAAUCCGCCAAGGAGUGUGUAACAACUCACCUGCCGAAGCUACUAGCCCUGAAAAUGGACGGUGCUGAAGCGUCGUGCUUAUACUCGGCCGCCAGCGGCAUGUGCGUGCGCGGCGCGUCGUUUCGGCGGCGUGAUCGCGCACAUGAAGCCCUGGUGAGUAGGAGGGUCGCGGCGGUGUGCGCAGAAGGAUUGGCCGUGAGGCCGUCUGGAGCCGCCGCCGGUGCAGAUCUUGGUGGUAGUAGCAAAUACUCCAGCGAGGCCCUGGAGGACUGACGUGGAGAAGGGUUUCGUGUGAACAGCUGUUGCACACGAGUCAGUCGAUCCUAAGCCCUAGGCGAAAGCCGAUGUUGAUGCGACGUAGUUUCGAACAAAUUUUGUGUAUGAAAAAUAAACAGCAAUUAACAUAGUGCGUGUGCACGCAAAAAACGCACGCUGUCAGCGUUUGCACGCGUGCUGUUGUACGUUGUACGCUGUUGGAAUGUCGGGUGCGCUCGCAAAUUGUGUGCAUUGCACACACAAACAUGCACGCGCUUCCAUCGCACACGUAUAUCGCGCGCGCAGCGUUGUCGUGCGCUUUUGUGCACACAUCGAAUUACACAAAUUAAAUUUUUCACACACACACAAACACAAAGUGAACACGUUCGUUGGGCGAAAGGGAAUCCGGUUCCUAUUCCGGAACCCGGCAGCGGAACCGCUAAAAAGUCGGGCCCUCGCAAGAGAGUUCGUCGGGGUAACCCAAAAAGACCCGAAGACGCCGUCGGGAGAUCUGGGAAGAGUUUUCUUUUCUGCAUGAGCAAACGAGUUCCAUGGAAUCCUCUAGCAGGGAGAUAUGGUUUGGUUUGCGAAGAGCACCGCAGUUGCCGCGGUGUCCAGAUCUUCCCCUCGGACCUUGAAAAUUCGGGAGAGGGCCACGUGGAGCGUUCGCGCCGGUUCGUACCCAUAUCCGCAGCAGGUCUC